RNAcentral lists this ribosomal RNA (373 nucleotides) under uncultured bacterium. RNAcentral describes it as "partial 16S ribosomal RNA". It matches the Rfam family "Bacterial small subunit ribosomal RNA", at positions 523 to 898 of the family's 1533-position model. The record is from RNAcentral.
ACACGUAGGGGCCUGACGUUGUUCGGAAUCAUUGGGCGUAAAGGGCGCGCAGGCGGCCGUCCAAGUCCGGUGUUAAAUGGUCGGGCUCAACCCGAUCAUGCGCUGGAAACUGGGCGGCUUGAGUCCCGUAGGGGAUGCCGGAAUUCCAGGUGUAGGGGUGAAAUCUGUAGAUAUCUGGAAGAACACCGAUGGCGAAGGCAGGCAUCUGGCCGGAGACUGACGCUGAGGCGCGAAGGCGCGGGGAGCGAACAGGUUUAGAUACCCUGGUAGUCCGCACAGUAAACGAUGUGCACCAGGUGGCGGGGGGUCGACCCCCGGUACCGUAGCUAACGCAUUAAGGGCACCGCCUGGGGAGUAUGCUCGCAAGGGUGAA